UUUCCGUAGGUGAACCUGCGGAAGGAUCAUUCAUAAUAAAGUGUUUUAUGGCACUUUUUAAAAAUCCAUAUCCACCUUGUGUGCAAUGUUAGAUCUCGUUAAUCUUGGCGAGAUUUUUAUACAUCAACUCAUUCUUUAACUAAUUUGUCUGAAAAAUAUUAUGAAUACUUAAUUCAAAAUACAACUUUCAACAACGGAUCUCUUGGCUCUCGCAUCGAUGAAGAACGCGGC
This 231-nucleotide unclassified non-coding RNA is filed under the name plant metagenome. RNAcentral's name for it is "partial contains small subunit ribosomal RNA, internal transcribed spacer 1, and 5.8S ribosomal RNA". The stretch from base 183 to 231 matches the Rfam family "5.8S ribosomal RNA", at positions 1 to 49 of the family's 154-position model. The record is from RNAcentral.